Molecule: ribosomal RNA, 493 nt
Filed under: uncultured bacterium
Lineage: Bacteria
Description: partial 16S ribosomal RNA
Rfam family: Bacterial small subunit ribosomal RNA
Source: RNAcentral
GACGAACGCUGGCGGCGUGCUUAACACAUGCAAGUCGAGCGGAAAGGCCUGCUUUCCCUUGUGGAUUGCGGGUACUCGAGUGGCGAACGGGUGAGUAACACGUGAGUGAUCUGCCCCCAACUUGGGUAUAAGCCUGGGAAACUGGGUCUAAUUCCCGAUAGGACUGCAGGGUGGUGCCUGUGUUGGAAAACGAUUUUCUAGUGGUUGUGGAUGAGCUCUCGGCCUAUCAGCUUGUUGGUGGGGUAAUGGCCUACCAAGGCGGCGACGGGUAGCCGGCCUGAGAGGGUGGACGGCCACAUUGGGGCUGAGGUACGGCCCAGACUCCUACGGGAGGCAGCAGUGGGGAAUAUUGCACAAUGGGCGGAAGCCUGAUGCAGCGACGCCGCGUGGGGGAUGACGGCCUUCGGGUUGUAAACUCCUUUCGACCGCGAGGAAGCCACCUGGUGGGAAGGGUGGUGACGGUAGUGGUAGAAGAAGCACCGGAUAACUACGU